RNAcentral lists this ribosomal RNA (837 nucleotides) under Sarocladium sp. Its description in RNAcentral is "SSU rRNA". It matches the Rfam family "Eukaryotic small subunit ribosomal RNA", at positions 234 to 1077 of the family's 1831-position model. The record is from RNAcentral. Lineage: Eukaryota; Fungi; Ascomycota; Sordariomycetes; Hypocreales; Sarocladiaceae.
CGGGGCUCUUUGGUGAUUCAUGAUAACUAUACGAAUCGCACGGCCUUGCGCCGGCGAUGGUUCAUUCAAAUUUCUUCCCUAUCAACUUUCGAUGUUUGGGUAUUGGCCAAACAUGGUUGCAACGGGUAACGGAGGGUUAGGGCUCGACCCCGGAGAAGGAGCCUGAGAAACGGCUACUACAUCCAAGGAAGGCAGCAGGCGCGCAAAUUACCCAAUCCCGACUCGGGGAGGUAGUGACAAUAAAUACUGAUACAGGGCCCUUUCGGGCCUUGUAAUUGGAAUGAGUACAAUUUAAAUCCCUUAACGAGGAACAAUUGGAGGGCAAGUCUGGUGCCAGCAGCCGCGGUAAUUCCAGCUCCAAUAGCGUAUAUUAAAGUUGUUGUGGUUAAAAAGCUCGUAGUUGAACCUUGGGCCUGGCUGGCCGGUCCGCCUCACCGCGUGCACUGGUCCGGCCGGGCCUUUCCCUUCUGUGGAACCCCAUACCCUUCACUGGGCGUGGCGGGGAAACAGGACAUUUACUUUGAAAAAAUUAGAGUGCUCCAGGCAGGCCUAUGCUCGAAUACAUUAGCAUGGAAUAAUAAAAUAGGACGCGCGGUUCUAUUUUGUUGGUUUAUAGGACCGCCGUAAUGAUUAAUAGGGACAGUCGGGGGCAUCAGUAUUCAACUGUCAGAGGUGAAAUUCUUGGAUCAGUUGAAGACUAACUACUGCGAAAGCAUUUGCCAAGGAUGUUUUCAUUAAUCAGGAACGAAAGUUAGGGGAUCGAAGACGAUCAGAUACCGUCGUAGUCUUAACCAUAAACUAUGCCGACUAGGGAUCGGACGGUGUUAUUCAUGACCC